GUCCACGCCCUAAACGAUGCGAACUGGACGUUGGGCACAAUUCGGUGCUCAGUGUCGAAGCUAACGCGUUAAGUUCGCCGCCUGGGGAGUACGCUCGCAAGAGUGAAACUCAAAGGAAUUGACGGGGCCCGCACAAGCGGUGGAGUAUGUGGUUUAAUUCGAUGCAACGCGAAGAACCUUACCUGGCCUUGACAUGUCCGGAACUGCUCAGAGAUGGCGGUGCUCGGACGGAACACAGUGCUGCAUGGCUGUCGU
RNAcentral lists this ribosomal RNA (255 nucleotides) under uncultured bacterium. Its description in RNAcentral is "partial 16S ribosomal RNA". It matches the Rfam family "Bacterial small subunit ribosomal RNA", at positions 793 to 1055 of the family's 1533-position model. The record is from RNAcentral.